RNAcentral lists this transfer RNA (72 nucleotides) under Camelus bactrianus (Bactrian camel). It matches the Rfam family "tRNA". From Rfam's summary of the family: Transfer RNA (tRNA) molecules are approximately 80 nucleotides in length. Their secondary structure includes four short double-helical elements and three loops (D, anti-codon, and T loops). The record is from Rfam by way of RNAcentral. RNAcentral also lists the same sequence under 2 other names. Lineage: Eukaryota; Metazoa; Chordata; Mammalia; Artiodactyla; Camelidae.
GAGGGUACAGCUCAGUGGUAAACUGCGUGCUUAGCAUGCAUGAGGUCUUGGGCUCAAAUCCCAGUACCUCCA